Molecule: small nucleolar RNA, 134 nt
Organism: Corvus moneduloides (New Caledonian crow)
Lineage: Eukaryota; Metazoa; Chordata; Aves; Passeriformes; Corvidae
Source: Ensembl
CCCCUUCUCUAAAGCACUCGUUGGGUCCGUGCCGUGGCCCAGGGAGUUGUCGUGGAAGGGCAGAGCAAAGACGCCGCUUUUGGGUGAAGUGGCAGCUCCUGGUGCUGUUGAUUUCAAUCAGUGGUGGGACAUCG